This 1472-nucleotide ribosomal RNA is filed under the name Citrobacter sp. KTE151. RNAcentral's name for it is "bacterial LSU rRNA". It matches the Rfam family "Bacterial large subunit ribosomal RNA", at positions 1483 to 2925 of the family's 2925-position model. Lineage: Bacteria; Pseudomonadati; Pseudomonadota; Gammaproteobacteria; Enterobacterales; Enterobacteriaceae. The record is from RNAcentral.
UAUGUUAGCCGGGCGACGGUUGUCCCGGUUUAAGCAUGUAGGCGGAGAUUCCAGGUAAAUCCGGAGUCUUGUUAACGCUGAGGUGUGAUGACGAGGCACUACGGUGCUGAAGUAACAAAUGCCCUGCUUCCAGGAAAAGCCUCUAAGCAUCAGGUAACACAAAAUCGUACCCCAAACCGACACAGGUGGUCAGGUAGAGAAUACCAAGGCGCUUGAGAGAACUCGGGUGAAGGAACUAGGCAAAAUGGUGCCGUAACUUCGGGAGAAGGCACGCUGAUAUGUAGGUGAAGUGAUUUACUCAUGGAGCUGAAAUCAGUCGAAGAUACCAGCUGGCUGCAACUGUUUAUUAAAAACACAGCACUGUGCAAACACGAAAGUGGACGUAUACGGUGUGACGCCUGCCCGGUGCCGGAAGGUUAAUUGAUGGGGUUAUCCGUAAGGAGAAGCUCUUGAUCGAAGCCCCGGUAAACGGCGGCCGUAACUAUAACGGUCCUAAGGUAGCGAAAUUCCUUGUCGGGUAAGUUCCGACCUGCACGAAUGGCGUAAUGAUGGCCAGGCUGUCUCCACCCGAGACUCAGUGAAAUUGAACUCGCUGUGAAGAUGCAGUGUACCCGCGGCAAGACGGAAAGACCCCGUGAACCUUUACUAUAGCUUGACACUGAACACUGGUCCUUGAUGUGUAGGAUAGGUGGGAGGCUUUGAAGUGUGGACGCCAGUCUGCAUGGAGCCAACCUUGAAAUACCACCCUUUAAUGGCUGGUGUUCUAACGUAGACCCGUAAUCCGGGUUGCGGACAGUGUCUGGUGGGUAGUUUGACUGGGGCGGUCUCCUCCUAAAGAGUAACGGAGGAGCACGAAGGUUAGCUAAUCCUGGUCGGACAUCAGGAGGUUAGUGCAAAGGCAUAAGCUAGCUUGACUGCGAGAGUGACGGCUCGAGCAGGUGCGAAAGCAGGUCUUAGUGAUCCGGUGGUUCUGAAUGGAAGGGCCAUCGCUCAACGGAUAAAAGGUACUCCGGGGAUAACAGGCUGAUACCGCCCAAGAGUUCAUAUCGACGGCGGUGUUUGGCACCUCGAUGUCGGCUCAUCACAUCCUGGGGCUGAAGUAGGUCCCAAGGGUAUGGCUGUUCGCCAUUUAAAGUGGUACGCGAGCUGGGUUUAGAACGUCGUGAGACAGUUCGGUCCCUAUCUGCCGUGGGCGCUGGAGAAUUGAGGGGGGCUGCUCCUAGUACGAGAGGACCGGAGUGGACGCAUCACUGGUGUUCGGGUUGUCAUGCCAAUGGCAUUGCCCGGUAGCUAAAUGCGGAAGAGAUAAGUGCUGAAAGCAUCUAAGCACGAAACUUGCCCCGAGAUGAGUUCUCCCUGACCCUUUAAGGGUCCUGAAGGAACGUUGAAGACGACGACGUUGAUAGGUCGGGUGUGUAAGCGUAGCGAUACGUUGAGCUAACCGAUACUAAUGAACCGUGAGGCUUAACCUU